CGAUACGGUAGGGCCCUUUAUGGGUUUAAGACUUAAUGAUCCCAAGGAGCAUCUUCAGGAUGCUCGGGACGCCAGCACCACUUUUUCUAUUUCAAUUUUUUAAAAACGAAAAAUGUCUAGUCUCAUCGGUGGAUCACUCGGCUCGUGGAUCGAUGAAGAGCGCAGCUAGCUGCGAUAUUUAGUGCGAACCGCAGAAAUAUUGAGCACUGAAAUUUUGAAUGCAAAUUGCGCAGUUGAAGUCGAAUUCAUCUGCGCGUCUGGUUCAGGGUCAUU
This 273-nucleotide ribosomal RNA is filed under the name Meloidogyne panyuensis. RNAcentral describes it as "5.8S ribosomal RNA". The stretch from base 118 to 271 matches the Rfam family "5.8S ribosomal RNA". From Rfam's summary of the family: 5.8S ribosomal RNA (5.8S rRNA) is a component of the large subunit of the eukaryotic ribosome. It is transcribed by RNA polymerase I as part of the 45S precursor that also contains 18S and 28S rRNA. The record is from RNAcentral. Lineage: Eukaryota; Metazoa; Nematoda; Chromadorea; Rhabditida; Meloidogynidae.